This 3454-nucleotide long non-coding RNA is filed under the name Equus caballus (horse). RNAcentral's name for it is "lncRNA (ENSECAG00000060041.1)". Lineage: Eukaryota; Metazoa; Chordata; Mammalia; Perissodactyla; Equidae. The record is from RNAcentral.
CGGUGAAGAGGCUCCGCGAAACUCUGCUGGGGCUGAAGUCCUUCCCUCUGGAGUCACCGUGCAGCCUGCGCGUGUCUGGCGCCUGCAGCCUUGUGCCUCGCAGGGGAUUCUGCCGUCUGUGCUUUCUCGGAGAUGAGGCCCCUCACUGUCACCCAGUGUCGUCCGUGAUGGGCACAGCAUCAGAUCCGGAGCGGGUGCAGGAUGCCGUGGAUCAGGGGCACGUGGCGGUUAGUGGGGGCACUCUGGACAAGUGACCUUCAGGACAAUAUGUUGGUGGAUCCUGGUUAAACAGAGGCAGCCCCCUUCAUGUGGCCAACAUCUGGGGCCUCACGGUGCUGGGGCUGCAGUGGUUCCUACCAGGACCCCGCCCACACGACGUCAGUGCACAGCUCUCCAGAAGGCUUCAGGGCCCUGGGGUCCACAGAACACCCUUCAGGAGAGGCUGGAGUCCGAGGUGGCGACAGGCAGUGGGGUCCAGCUCUGUUCCAGGACCCAGGAAAUGCUCUGUAGGCUCAGGAGUCCUGGAGGCCAGAGGCCCAAGACUCCUGUGGGGUCCACGGUCCCGCCCACCGUCCUGGCGAAGGUGACGGCCCGUACUGCCCGCUCAGACACCCUCCUCGUGUCCUCCUUUCUCCCCCUUGGAAGCCGCCCCAAGGGAGAUGACAUUCAGGACGGAGGAGAAAGAAUUCGUGAAGGCCAGCGGCAGCCCUUCGGGUGGGAGCGCAGAAUAACACACAUCGACCCUCGACGGCUCAGAGUAAACCGCUGGGAGUCCUGACGUCGGGGAGGCUGCACAGAUGGUAGGGUCAGGGACCUCGAGUGGCUGGAGGCGCACGGGAGAGAGGCCUUCCCAGGACAGGGAAGGAAGGGAAGGCUGGGGUCCAGCGGGGGGGGCAUCCGCCCCUGCACUGUGCCCCCCGAGCUUGGCGGGGGUGUCUCUGCAGGGUCUCAGCCCCCAAGCUUACAAAUCCUCCGCCCGAGCUCAGAGGGGCCCCUGCCUGCCGCUCCCCUCAGAGGACGGCGCCCCUGAAGUCAGGAGUCCUCCGACCAGGUGCUUGCGGGAGGCUGCUCCUCCAAGCAGAGGAAAGCGAAGGACACCGCCAUUGAAAUGGUUGCCUGACGUCCGGUGUGACCCGAUGGAUUAAUCCGCAGCAUCCCAGAAGCUCACACCGGCCCAGAAGGACACCUUCCGCACCGGCCUCUGCCCUGCCUUCUCAGAGCCUCAUUCGUCUUUCAACACCUCACCCCAGACCCUGGGGCCCAUCCCCCAGCCCGCAGCCUGUGCGUGUUUCCAUAGCAACCUGCCCCUGCUGCUGUGGUGACAUCCCAGCGAUGUGAGCUCUUUGAAGGCCGCCCGACCUGGAUCGCUCCGCAGAGUGGGGAGGAGGGGUGCCCGAUGACACUGAGCACAGCCUCCCUUGGGGGCAGGCGGUGAGUGCAGGCUGUGCCUGCUAUCAGCUGCUGUGCCUCGAGCCCUUGACCUCGUUCGAGGACGUCUCGAAGAUGGGGAAACUGAGGCCCAGAGAGAGGGAACCUCCCUUUUCAGUUACAGUAAGAGAAGAGGUCAUGCUGACUGGUGACAACCAGCCCCCCGUCUGGGACACCCCAGAGGAGAAGAGUCGCCACUGAGAAGCGUCCCCUCUGGGUGUGUCCCUGGGGGAUGAAGGCCAGCUGCCCUCCCUCCGGUGGAGCACCAGAGGGCGCUUCCCUCCCCCUUCUCACCCAGAGCCCCCUGGUCUCAAGGCCAGAGCAGGCGAGUUAUCUGCUCCCUCCUGCUGCGCUGAGCCUGGGGGAGGCUGACUGCACAUGGGGAGGGGGACGGCUUCUCACCUCAGCCCAGCGGUCCCAGUGCUGGCGACGUUUCUGGAGCAGCUGAGUUUCUGUCUGGCUGGUGAUCCUCUCUUACAGCAAAGCCGUCGGUACCCCAGCGCGCGCCUGGGGAAUAUCUAGGGCAUCGCAGAGAGGCUGAGCGCGGAGGAGCAAAUGUCAGCAAAGGGUCAGGCGGGGGCCUGGGAGUCACAGCUCCGGGGUCCUGGAUGGAACGCCUCCCAAGCAGAGGAGAGGCUGCUGACUUGGCUCAGACUGCACGCCACUGAAGCAGAAGUCAGUUUCAAGUUGAGGAGGAAGAUGGAUUUUCCCAGAGGCUCUUGGCCUCCUCCCUGGAAAGAGGCAGCUGCGGAUGCGGGUAACUCCUGAGGAGCCCCGAGGUUCCACCCCCUGGCUGCUGGCGGGAGAUGCUGACCGGGCCAUCCCAAGACCCGCCAGCUCCAAGCCCCACGGAGCCAGGAGAGCUGGCGGCCCCACAGCACCAGGUGCCAGGAAUCACUGGGGUGACUCCAGGCCUGGAGCCCAGGGGCAGUUUGGUGCUGUGGUCACCACAGGACAGUGGACGCACUGAUGGGUUGCGGAUCCUGACUCCUCCAUUUGACCUGUAAAAUGGGGUUCCAGCACCCCCAGUUCUUCACGGCUGCCCAGGUCCGUGCCCUUGUCCUGGGGAGCUUAUGUUGGACAGAGUCGGUGUGCCUUUGGAAGGAAAGAUGAAUAAACCAGAGACUAGGGACCCUCCUGGUCUUAUCAGGACAGUAGGGCUGCCCUCCUGAGACUAGGGCUCCCGCCGGGCCUGAGCUCAGGCCCACCUUCCGGCCCCAAGCGGCAUCACAGCAAGGGGGGUGGGUGGGACCAGGAAACCCCCUUCUGCCCACUCUGCUCCCAGGAAAGGCAAUCCCCACCCUGAGGGGCUCCAGGAGCCCAGAGACCCUGUGUCCUGAGCCCCAGCUCCACCCUGUGUGGGCAGGCGCACUUGUUCACUGUGGCUGGACCCCUGUCCCUGUCACUGCAUGGAGGUGUCACCCAGGCCUGGCCCCUCCCAAAGGGACAGUCCACUCUGCCCUUGACCCAGCCCCCUCCCUUCAAGUGAGGGUCCUGUGGCCAAAGGCACCCCUUCUCCCCGGCCCCAGCUGCCCAGGAUGGCCAGGCGCCCUCCCUCCCAGCCCCAGCGAGGGGUGGGUGACAGGAAGGACUUACAGCUGAUGCCCUUCUUGCCGUGACACACCUCCGGUUUCCACAUCACUGGCCCGUCAGUACCGGCAGGACUAUCUGACAAACAGAGGCCUCUCUCCACCGAAUUUUUUAAAAGGCAUAUAAAAUAUUUACCUGAUCAUUUUUGCUACCUGAAGAAAAUAAUUUGCUUUCCGUCCUCAGGAGCCACGACCCCCUCAGCUCUGGGAAGUGAUGGCCAGCCCCCCGCAAUUCCCUGAUGGCACACAGGGUGGGGUCUGACCACAGACCAUGGGAACUUUAUUUUCCAAGAUGUCAGCCUGGCUGGGGCCCCUGCCUGGGUGCCCACCCACGUGGGUGGGUUUUCACUGCCUGGUCUGCCUCAUGCUUUUUACUGUGUUUUACUUCCUUAUUGGUGAAAUGAUUAAAGAUUUGUUUGAUGUUUUUAAAGUAAAAC